AAAAUAACGAUGACAGGGAAUAGUAAGCUGUCCUUGGGUCACAGAGAACCGCUGGUAGCUGUGAGGCGGUCGAAGAGGCAAGCAGAACUCACCCUGGAGUUGCCGACCGAAAUCUUUUGAAAGUAGGCUCGGACGGAACUUCUACCGUUAAAAGGAAGGGGAUAUCGGGUCUUAAGACCCCGUAUUCUGAUGGAGUGAACGGCAUGGCCGUUAAAUUGAGUGGUACCGCGGAGUUAAACCCUUCGUCUCAGAG
Molecule: non-coding RNA, 253 nt
Filed under: Syntrophomonas zehnderi
Lineage: Bacteria; Bacillati; Bacillota; Clostridia; Eubacteriales; Syntrophomonadaceae
Description: T-box sequence
Rfam family: T-box leader
About the family: Uncharged tRNA acts as the effector for transcription antitermination of genes in the T-box leader family. T-boxes are found upstream of many aminoacyl-tRNA synthetase genes and some amino acid biosynthetic genes usually in Gram-positive bacteria.
Source: RNAcentral